RNAcentral lists this transfer RNA (69 nucleotides) under Marmota monax (woodchuck). RNAcentral's name for it is "tRNA.Ala". Lineage: Eukaryota; Metazoa; Chordata; Mammalia; Rodentia; Sciuridae. The record is from RNAcentral.
GGUGUUUUGGCUCAGUGGUAGAGUGCUCACCUAGCACAGGCAAGGAUCUGAGUUCAAUCCUCAGCACCA